RNAcentral lists this ribosomal RNA (492 nucleotides) under uncultured bacterium. Its description in RNAcentral is "partial 16S ribosomal RNA". It matches the Rfam family "Bacterial small subunit ribosomal RNA", at positions 29 to 507 of the family's 1533-position model. The record is from RNAcentral.
AGUGAACGCUGGCGGUAGGCCUAACACAUGCAAGUCGAACGGCAGCACAGUAAGAGCUUGCUCUUACGGGUGGCGAGUGGCGGACGGGUGAGGAAUACAUCGGAAUCUACUUUUUCGUGGGGGAUAACGUAGGGAAACUUACGCUAAUACCGCAUACGACCUACGGGUGAAAGCAGGGGAUCUUCGGACCUUGCGCGAUUGAAUGAGCCGAUGUCGGAUUAGCUAGUUGGCGGGGUAAAGGCACACCAAGGCGACGAUCCGUAGCUGGUCUGAGAGGAUGAUCGGCCACACUGGAACUGAGACACGGUCCAGACGCCUACGGGAGGCAGCAGUAGGGAAUCUUCAGCAAUGGGCGAAAGCCUGACGGAGAAACGCCGCGUGAGUGAUGAAGGUCUUCGGAUCGUAAAACUCUGUUAUUAGGGAAGAACAGAUGUGUAAGUAACUGUGCACAUCUUGACGGGACCUAAUCAGAAAGCCACGGCUAACUACGUG